Long non-coding RNA from Herpailurus yagouaroundi (jaguarundi), 1053 nucleotides. RefSeq lists it as uncharacterized. The transcript is spliced from 2 exons. NCBI's taxonomy places the organism in Eukaryota, Metazoa, Chordata, Mammalia, Carnivora, Felidae. The record is from RefSeq and is a predicted model, not a curated record.
AAGGCCUCGGCUCUCAGGCCCAAGCCUGGGGGGUGUCUGACCGUCUGCUGCCUUCCCACACGGGCCAGGGAGGAGCAUCUCACGAGACCCUGCUGUGGGCCCUCCAGGCUCCUGAAGAGAAAUGCAAGAACUCUGGGAGAAGGUCCCCCACGUCCCGCACCCGCUCACCCCAGCAGCACCCCGGGUGUGCCCAGAAGCCCCAGAGUUUGCUCUUGUUGCUGCCUGAGCCCUGGUGGCACGACUCGAGUCAGCCCUUUGAAGACGUCUCCAGAUUGAACUAGAAGAUUCACGAACUCCAGUGAACACAGAAGAGGAAAGAACAUCCCAGGGGAGGAGAAGCAGGAGCCAAGAUCUGGGUCUGGGUCGGGCUCCCUGUGUGGCAGGGAAGGUCCUGGGUCAUCAGCGCAGCAGCCCAAGAGAGGAGCUGGGUGUGCCUCUGCCUGGACUAAGGGGCAGCCGGGCUUGGGUGGGCGGGGUCUUGAGGAUGCAUAGGAGUUUGCGAGGAACAGCAGAAACAGGAACCGAUGGAAAAGAGGAAAGACCCAGAGGUAAGGCACUUGCUCAUUGCUGUGCAGACCCUGAGGGCAGGGGCCACGUGCCGCCAAGUGCGUUCUCAGCACACAGCAGGGCUCCGGAAACAUCUGACCAAAAAUGCGAGCGAGGCCAAGGUUGGUUCUCAGGCCCGCUGCACCGUGGAUGUCUUCGGCUUCUAGCUGUGUUUAUGCACGCCUUCCAGAAAAGCAGAAUAAAUAAAAAACCCAGCGAAGUCAACGAUACGGAGACAGGGAUCCAAACACUCAGACAAGCGGUCUGCAGCAGACUGGCCCAGGCACUCGCACACCUGCCUGCAUCACAGCGAGCAGGGGCCUAGGGAGCACCCGACGGUGAGGGAGCCACGAGCAUGAGCCUCUUUUGAGACAAUCUGCAACAGUGAGGAUGGGUGCGGAAACACAUCCCAGGCGCCGCUCAGGUGCACAACGGAGGGAAACGCCAGCCUUAGUGGGCUGGUGACUGUCGGAUGGCGGCCUUCCCAACCAAGUCCACGGACCGCUU